RNAcentral lists this unclassified non-coding RNA (4012 nucleotides) under Hevea brasiliensis (rubber tree). The record is from RNAcentral. Lineage: Eukaryota; Viridiplantae; Streptophyta; Magnoliopsida; Malpighiales; Euphorbiaceae.
ACUGUUCACCGAGGGACCAGCCCAAGAAGAUGCAAAAUGCAGAAAAGCCGCAAAAGAACGCAACAGUUCCAACUUAAAUCAGGCGAAUCUGAAACAAAAUCAGCCAAAAUCAGCAUUUCCACAAAACAAGAGCCAUACCCAACUCACCUUCGACCCACUCCCGAAGAAUGCCUAGCUAUCCGAGACUCUCUUUUGGCUUGUCACGGCUUUCCUCAAGAGUUCGCCAAGUAUCGAGAGCAGAGACGGAAUUUAUCCUCCUCUGGAAUCGACAGUGAUGCCCACAAUGGCGUGAAAUCAGAGCCUGGGGAGGAAAGCGUUUUGGAUGGUUUGGUAAAAACCCUGCUUUCCCAGAAUACUACCGAGGUUAAUUCUCAAAGGGCUUUUGCUAAUCUGAAAUCUGCUUUUCCUACAUGGGAAGAUGUACUUGCUGCUGAAUCGAAAUGCAUAGAGAAUGCCAUAAGAUGUGGAGGUUUAGCUCCAACAAAAGCUUCUUGCAUUAAGAACAUAUUGAGUUCCUUGCUUGAGAAAAAUGGCAAACUAUGCUUGGAGUACCUUCGAGAUUUGUCAGUUGAAGAAAUUAAAGCUGAGCUGUCUCAUUUCAAGGGAAUUGGGCCCAAAACGGUGUCUUGUGUUUUGCUGUUCCAACUUCAACUAGACGAUUUCCCUGUGGACACACAUGUGUUUGAAAUUGCAAAGGCCAUUGGCUGGGUACCUGGAGUGGCAGACAGGAAUAAGGCAUACCUUCAUCUCAACCAACGGAUUCCCAAUGAGCUUAAAUUUGAUCUGAAUUGUCUUCUAUUCACACAUGGUAAGCUUUGCCGUAAAUGCACCAAGAAAGGAGGCAACCAGCAAAGAAAGGAAUCCCGUGAUAACUCCUGUCCGCUACUAAACUAUAGCAUAAACUUUAGCGUUAAGACAACUGGGGAAAUAAAUUAAUGAUAUUCUAUUUAUCAGCCUUAAGUGGCCCUGGUCUUAGUUCAGUUUUUGGCUCAAAAGUUUCUGUUAACUGGUCAUCCGUAAGAUUUGGAUCAGCGGACCAAAUUGGGGGUUUGCUUGCAAAAAAGAGAUCAGAUUGAGGACUACUUAAACGUACAAUUUUAGGUGGAGGUGGAGGUGGAGGUGAUUUAUAGGAACAAUGCAGAAUCCUGCCGUUUAUUUUCAUAGGUUAUAUACUUAUAUGUACAUUUGAUUCGUGCGGUUCAAUAUUUAUGUUUAUAUUUUUUUUCCCGAAAGAAAGAAAGCAAUCUGGGGUGAAUUUUUAAGAGAGGAAAAAAAAAAUAGGGGGAGCAAUCAGUAAUUAAAAGCAUUUAUUGGUAGAAGUAGUUAUGGGAUAACAACAUAAUCCCAUAGAUUCAACUUUCAUCGUUUCCCAAAGGCUUUAAAGUGUGUUGUGCAACUAUCAAGCACAAUAACUUUUGUUAAUACAUAAAAUAAUGGUAGUUGAAGACUUGAAAUAGCUGUAAUUAUAUGCAUAUGGGUAAUAAAAUAUGGUUUUUGUGUUGUGUGGAGAUAUGCCCAGAUCUUUUUUAAGAAAAAUACUCUAGUGUGCAGUUCCACUAGCAUGAGACUCUGUAAGAAUUGUUGUAGAAGGGCUUAAUGAAGUACCAGCUGUUAAGAUAAUGUGAAAUUAAGGAGAAAAAAUUAUUGUCUGCUGGUCUGUGUCUAGUGGAAAUUAGUUUGGAAGUUAGUGCUGCAUAGCUAACAAUACCUCCACAACUUUUUGACUUUUUGAGUUAAUUUUUUAUUUUUUUAAUCGUUGUUAUCCUUUGAAUUAAUGUUUAUGUUCUUCAAAAUGCUCAAGUGGUACCACAGCUGUAUGUCAAGGUGCUAAACUCCUUAUAGACUGUUUCUUUGUUACUAUUAUUUUGGUGCACCUAUUCUGGAUUGUUAAAAAAAGAUCUUGCAUCUCUUUAAUGGGUAAGGUUGAUCAGUGUCAGCUGUGGUAUAUGCCAAAUAUCUUUAUCUGAGAAGCAUGAUGGCUCGUUCAUCUUUUCUUCAAAAAAAAUAAUAAUAAUCCUUUUGAGGACUCCUUUGGCUACUUCAAGUUUGUUCAGGUUUGAAAGUUGUCCUGUUCUGCUCUAAUAUACAUCAUUCGACCCAAUUCAGAAUGCUAUAAAUAAAAAUAGACUGAAAUUUAUAGGAAUAUGAGAUAUUCUGAGAAUUCAUUUUGGGGGAACUUAGGGAGAUAUUUCUUGUAAAUCCACUUUCUUGCUUUUCGGCCUCCUUUUGCUUUUAAGGCCAUUAGGCCGUUUACGCUAUUGUGUCUGAGAAUUCACAUGGAGGUGAAACUAACGAGAUUAUUUGGUUUUGAGGUGAUUUCUGACACCGUGGGUGAGAAAAGGCUCAAGGGUUUUGAAGAUGGGGAUCGCAGUGUAGAGUCAUUUGGUGAAGAAAACGGAAUUGGAAAGUCCUUGGAUAAAGCUUCAUAUGAAAUGGACAAAACUGCAAAAGAGAAAAUUUCAAGGCAUGAACUGGAGCAUAAGAAGUAUGAAUGUCAGUUUUGCCCGAAGGAAUUUAGGAACCCACAAGCAUUUGGGGGCCACCAGAAUGCCCGCAAGAAGGAGAGGCUAAAAAGGAGAAGAAUGCAGGUUCAAGAAAAGAGCAAUUCCUGUAACUUUUACCUUGAUCCUUCCCAAGCUCAAAACAAUCCUGUUUACCGUAAUUCUCUUCCAUGGUUUGAUGCUUCCUCUUCUUAUGUGCCGGACUUCAUGCUUAAUGGGGAGUCUUUUAUUAGCUUCAACCUCUCACAUCAGAGUCAAAGCCUUUGCUAUCAUACAUCCUAUGUGUCCAAUCUAUUGCAUGUCCUUCAAAUCUGCAAACAGGACACCUCUAACAGAUCAUUGUUGUCUGGCCUUCUCCUUCAUAUAUUUCCAAGGACUGCCAUUAGGGCUCCCAAAAACACUGAUACCUGAUCAGUAUCUUCUCUAGAAAUGAGUAUAAUUGAGUCAGAAGAAUGUAAAUGAGACUUUUUUUUCCCGUUGUCAAAUUUGGUACUGCAUCUGAUCAUAUUUAUUUUCAGAAGAGACAGAAUCGAGAUUUAUUCGACUCCUGUGGGAAGUUUUGAGGAAGAAUUUUCUUUUUAUAUGCUUUUUAUUAGUAGGAUAGGAUACUUCUAACUCCUGUUAUGUUGCUUCCCAGUGGUCUGGAACUCUGGAUUCUGGAAAGCAUAUAUUCAUUUGUCGAGAGUGUUAGUAUGAAGUCCUUGAUUUUUUUUUUUUGGGAGAUCGAGCAAGCUUUUUGCCAUCCCCAUUUUAUCAGUUUACUUAUCCUCACUUUAAUUUACUUCUCACUGGGAGACGUUAGUCGUUGGACCAUGCUUUUGUUGAAUGUCCGGUGGUACUGGUUAGGGAUUGUUGGCUAGGAUAGAUUCCGUCAAUUCUAAAUGAGUCUGCCAAUGUUGAGUCUAAUUUGCAUCGGGUCCUUGCUUGCAUGGUUCUGUGGUCAGUUUGGAAACACAGAAAUGAUGUAUUAUGGAAUAGUUAUCAGGUGUCAGUUCCCCAAGUGUUGAAUGUUGCUUCAUCAUUCUUGCAUAAUUGGUUAUCUGCCAGGUCUCUCGUGAGGAUGCUAUACUACUUAGUGUUCGGUUGGCAGAAAGCAGAUGGGGGCUAUGAGAGGCCUCCAACUGGUUUUGUCAAGUGCAAUGCGGAUGCUUCCUUAUCGUCUAAUGGGAGCCGGUUGGGUUGUGCGUAAUGAAGAGGGAGCUGUGGUACAUGCAUGUCAGCACAGGUAUGAUGGUUCGAGGAUCCGUAGGUGGCAGAGGCAAUUGCACUAAGUGCAGCUUUACAUUGGGUAGGGGACCGUCUGUUGGUUUUUGAGCUUGACUCACUGCUGCUUGUUUAAGCCUUGAGAGCAAAGGUGAGGGAUGCUUCAUAUUUCGGAGCCCUAUUGGAUGAAUGUAAAGAUUUGUCGAGAAACUUUACACAUUUUUUUAAGCAGACUAUUGCAAAUAUUGUCGCUCAUUUUCUUUUUUCAUUGAUAGAUUUUACAUGCUUGUUUGACAUCGUGAUUGGAG